Molecule: ribosomal RNA, 600 nt
Filed under: Clonostachys epichloe
Lineage: Eukaryota; Fungi; Ascomycota; Sordariomycetes; Hypocreales; Bionectriaceae
Description: eukaryotic LSU rRNA
Rfam family: Eukaryotic large subunit ribosomal RNA
Source: RNAcentral
GCAUAUCAAUAAGCGGAGGAAAAGAAACCAACAGGGAUUGCCCUAGUAACGGCGAGUGAAGCGGCAACAGCUCAAAUUUGAAAUCUGGCGCAAGCCCGAGUUGUAAUUUGUAGAGGAUGUUUCUGGCGAAGUGCCUUCCGAGUUCCCUGGAACGGGACGCCAUAGAGGGUGAGAGCCCCGUACGGUUGGAUGCCUAGCCUCUGUGAAACUCCUUCGACGAGUCGAGUAGUUUGGGAAUGCUGCUCUAAAUGGGAGGUAUACGUCUUCUAAAGCUAAAUACCGGCCAGAGACCGAUAGCGCACAAGUAGAGUGAUCGAAAGAUGAAAAGCACUUUGAAAAGAGGGUUAAAAAGUACGUGAAAUUGUUGAAAGGGAAGCGUUUAUGACCAGACUUGGGCAGGUUGAUCAUCCGUGGUUCUCCGCGGUGCACUCUGCCUGCCCAGGCCAGCAUCAGUUCGCCUUGGGGGAUAAAGGUUUCGGGAAUGUGGCUCCUCCGGGAGUGUUAUAGCCCGUUGCGUAAUACCCUGGGGCGGACUGAGGUUCGCGCUCCGCAAGGAUGCUGGCGUAAUGGUCAUCAACGACCCGUCUUGAAACACGGACC